This 468-nucleotide ribosomal RNA is filed under the name uncultured bacterium. RNAcentral describes it as "partial 16S ribosomal RNA". It matches the Rfam family "Bacterial small subunit ribosomal RNA", at positions 28 to 507 of the family's 1533-position model. The record is from RNAcentral.
GACGAACGCUGGCGGCGUGCUUAACACAUGCAAGUCGAACGGAAAGGCCCUGCUUUUGUGGGGUGCUCGAGUGGCGAACGGGUGAGUAACACGUGAGUAACCUGCCCUUGACUUUGGGAUAACUUCAGGAAACUGGGGCUAAUACCGGAUAGGAGCUCCUGCUGCAUGGUGGGGGUUGGAAAGUUUCGGCGGUUGGGGAUGGACUCGCGGCUUAUCAGCUUGUUGGUGGGGUAGUGGCUUACCAAGGCUUUGACGGGUAGCCGGCCUGAGAGGGUGACCGGCCACAUUGGGACUGAGAUACGGCCCAGACUCCUACGGGAGGCAGCAGUGGGGAAUAUUGCAAGAUGGGCGGAAGCAUGAUGCAGCAACGCCGCGUGCGGGAUGACGGCCUUCGGGUUGUAAACCGCUUUCGCCUGUGACGAAGCGUGAGUGACGGUAAUGGGUAAAGAAGCACCGGCUAACUACGUG